CCAGACUACACGUGCACAAAGAUAAUUCACAGCAAUUCUCUGCAAACCUGCUUGACUCCUGCAAAGUUUUUCCUCGAUUGGUUUGGACAGAGGGACGUCUUACCUCUUCAACGGCUGGUAAAGGUCCUUAAUAAAGGGUGUGUUUUGUGUUCCUGCCAAGGUGCUCCACUCACAGUAGGAGACGGGAGGUAGUCAGAGACCAACCCAUGAUAUCAGAGUUCAAGACUAGAUGGCCAGGACUGUUCACUGUGCCUGAGGUGCAAGCCGAAUUUCUGAGGAUUACCACUGUUCCCCUCAUCACAAAGUUUUUUGCACAACUUGAUUACCACACUGAUCAGCUCAUCAGAUUGCUGAAGAAGG
Paramisgurnus dabryanus is the source of this 360-nucleotide long non-coding RNA. RefSeq lists it as uncharacterized. The record is from RefSeq and is a predicted model, not a curated record. NCBI's taxonomy places the organism in Eukaryota, Metazoa, Chordata, Actinopteri, Cypriniformes, Cobitidae.